AAAAAGACAAACCCUGGUUUCCGUGUCCAACGUUUGACCAUCCGUAUUAUUUGAAAAAAUUAUAAAAAAAUUAAAAAGAUAAGUUAUGCAUAAAGUAUUAACCAUAUUUUAUCAUCUAACAACAAUGAAAAUACUAAUUAUAAAAAAAUUUCAUAUAAGACGGAUGGUCAAACGUUGGCACGGAAACCUAGGGUUUAUCUUUUU
This 204-nucleotide microRNA precursor is filed under the name Oryza sativa Indica Group (long-grained rice). Its description in RNAcentral is "MIR812 microRNA precursor family". It matches the Rfam family "MIR812 microRNA precursor family". Lineage: Eukaryota; Viridiplantae; Streptophyta; Magnoliopsida; Poales; Poaceae. The record is from Rfam by way of RNAcentral.